UCGUUUCCAAAAAAUGUGUUGAAAGUUGGAGACACAAAGCCGCGGGUCUAACGUUUGCGACAAACUAGGACAGCCGGGUUGCCAAA
Molecule: non-coding RNA, 86 nt
Filed under: Paenibacillus sp.
Lineage: Bacteria; Bacillati; Bacillota; Bacilli; Caryophanales; Paenibacillaceae
Description: c-di-GMP sequence
Rfam family: c-di-GMP-I riboswitch aptamer
About the family: GEMM was predicted in a large-scale screen for bacterial structured RNA regulatory elements. Genes associated with GEMM are involved in a diverse array of functions, including chemotaxis regulation, signal transduction, secretion and chitin.
Source: RNAcentral